This is a long non-coding RNA of Telopea speciosissima, 222 nucleotides long. RefSeq lists it as uncharacterized. The record is from RefSeq and is a predicted model, not a curated record. Lineage: Eukaryota; Viridiplantae; Streptophyta; Magnoliopsida; Proteales; Proteaceae. The transcript is spliced from 3 exons.
UGUCUCAGGUGGCAUGGUCACGUUCAAUGAAGAUCUUCGGAUGCUCCAGUUCAGAGGAGUGACUUGAUCCAGAUUGAAGGUAUUAAAAUAGCUAGGGGCAGGCCUAAAAUGAUCAUAGGUGAAGUAGUGAGGAAAGACAUGCAAAGACUAGGCCUUGUCUCAAGUAUGACAUAGAAUAGAGCUGACUAGAGGGCAAGGAUCCAUGUAACCAACCCCAUUUAG